This 88-nucleotide transfer RNA is filed under the name Burkholderiales bacterium. RNAcentral's name for it is "tRNA-Ser". It matches the Rfam family "tRNA". Rfam says of the family: Transfer RNA (tRNA) molecules are approximately 80 nucleotides in length. Their secondary structure includes four short double-helical elements and three loops (D, anti-codon, and T loops). Further hydrogen bonds mediate the characteristic L-shaped molecular structure. tRNAs have two regions of fundamental functional importance: the anti-codon, which is responsible for specific mRNA codon recognition, and the 3' end, to which the tRNAs corresponding amino acid is attached (by aminoacyl-tRNA synthetases). tRNAs cope with the degeneracy of the genetic code in two manners: having more than one tRNA (with a specific anti-codon) for a particular amino acid; and 'wobble' base-pairing, i.e. permitting non-standard base-pairing at the 3rd anti-codon position. RNAcentral also lists the same sequence under 2 other names. The record is from RNAcentral. Lineage: Bacteria; Pseudomonadati; Pseudomonadota; Betaproteobacteria; Burkholderiales.
GGAGAGUUGGCAGAGCGGUCGAAUGCGGCGGUCUUGAAAACCGUUAGCCCGCGAGGGCUCGGGGGUUCGAAUCCCUCACUCUCCGCCA